UGGUGUCUUAGUCUAUUUGAAGAUCUCUCCCAUAAAAGGUGUGAAGAGGUUUGGCAAGAAGGGAAAGCUCAGUCCUCGAUAUGUUGGCCCUUACAGGAUCUUAAGUCAUUUUGGAAAGGUAGUAUGAGCUUGAUUUUUUUGCAAAUUUGGUAUUCGUAUAUCCCGUGUUCCAUGUUUCCUUGUUAAAGAAGUGUAUUGGUGAUCCAGCUGUAGUAG
RNAcentral lists this long non-coding RNA (216 nucleotides) under Capsicum annuum. Its description in RNAcentral is "long non-coding RNA (CANN_LNC003216)". Lineage: Eukaryota; Viridiplantae; Streptophyta; Magnoliopsida; Solanales; Solanaceae. The record is from RNAcentral.